Molecule: ribosomal RNA, 273 nt
Filed under: Argas hermanni
Lineage: Eukaryota; Metazoa; Arthropoda; Arachnida; Ixodida; Argasidae
Description: partial large subunit ribosomal RNA
Source: RNAcentral
CAAAGAUUUUCUUUCUUGGGAGAAAUAUUGGAAGUUGGUUUUUAAGUGAAAAAACUUAAAUUUUAUUUUGGGACAAGAAGACCCUAUGAAUUUUUAUUAAAGUUAAGUUUGUUAAAGGCUUGUUUUAAUUUAGUUGGGGUGAUUUUUAAAGAUUGGGUAUCUUUAAAUUUAAAAAUUGAUCCAUUUUUAAUGAUUAUUUGAAAAAAAUACUCUAGGGAUAACAGCGUAAUUAUUUUGGAUAGUUCAUAUUGAUAAAAUUGUUUGCGACCUCGA